GCCCAAACUUGUCACACAAGUCGUGAAGCCAUGGAAUUACAUGCCAGAGUUUCGAUCAUGGACAAAUAACUAUUAUUCUUUUACAAGAAAUGCUACAAACCAGCAAUUAAACAUCAUUCUAAAUUCUAAUUUUGACAUAUCAUGAAUUGGAUCUAAUCCAUAUCACAACAAUAAUAUGUCAUUUGAUUGAAUCAAUCAAAGAUGGAUCUGAUACCACUGUUGGGAUUCAGAUGCAUAACGGAAUUGAAAUUUAAAAAUUUUUAACAUGCAACCAUAAUAGAAAACAUAUGAUUUGAACUCCAAUCCCAAAAUCACCUUGAUGCAUUCAAUCAAACAAGAACAUGAAUCACAUAGCAUAUAUAUAAAAGAGAGAUUGGAAAUGUUAUACUAAACAGGAAGAUCUGAG
This 406-nucleotide long non-coding RNA is filed under the name Elaeis guineensis (African oil palm). RNAcentral describes it as "long non-coding RNA (EGUI_LNC058070)". Lineage: Eukaryota; Viridiplantae; Streptophyta; Magnoliopsida; Arecales; Arecaceae. The record is from RNAcentral.